GACGAACGCUGGCGGCGUGCUUAACACAUGCAAGUCGAACGGAAAGGCCUCUUUCGGGGGGUACUCGAGUGGCGAACGGGUGAGUAACACGUGAGUAACCUGCCCUUGACUUUGGGAUAACUUCAGGAAACUGGGGCUAAUACCGGAUAGGAGCUCCUGCUGCAUGGUGGGGGUUGGAAAGUUUCGGCGGUUGGGGAUGGACUCGCGGCUUAUCAGCUUGUUGGUGGGGUAGUGGCUUACCAAGGCUUUGACGGGUAGCCGGCCUGAGAGGGUGACCGGCCACAUUGGGACCGAGAUACGGCCCAGACUCCUACGGGAGGCAGCAGUGGGGAAGAUUGCACAAUGGGUGGAAGCCUGAUGCAGCAACGCCGUGUGCGGGAUGACGGCCCUCGGGUUGUAAACCGCUUUCGCUCAUGACGAAGCUUUGUGUGACGGUAGUGGGUAAAGAAGCACCGGCUAACUACGUG
This 467-nucleotide ribosomal RNA is filed under the name uncultured bacterium. RNAcentral describes it as "partial 16S ribosomal RNA". It matches the Rfam family "Bacterial small subunit ribosomal RNA", at positions 28 to 507 of the family's 1533-position model. The record is from RNAcentral.